UCACUAUUGAGGGUCCCGGCAUUGAAGCCGAACACUGCAGGAUUGAGAACAGAGGAGGGGUCAUCACUCUUGACCCAUGCAGACACCUGUGUUCACUCGAUGGAGUUCCUGUUACCAGACCCACACAACUUGAGCAAGGUUACACACUCUGUUUGGGUAAAUCUUAUAUCUUUCGCUUUAACCAUCCUGAGGAGGCCAACCGUAUGAAAAGCAUGCUGCCUCAGAAGAGCCCUGUCUCUCCGCUGGUGUACAGCACAGAUUAUCUGAAGUUCAGCAGUGACUUCAGUCGUUGUCUGGGUGUCUCUGGCUCUAGAGGGAUGCGCUCCGUCUCCGAACUGCGGGAUUUGAUGGACACUUUACAAAAAAAGAAGCAGGCAUUGGAGAACAGCUUGCGAGCCAAUGGGGAUUCAAGCACCUCCUACUUCAGCAUGACACAGUCUCCUCCCACCACACCCAAUUUGCUGUCACCCAUCAUCACGUCCUCCCCAAUAUCCUAUCAAGAACAAACACGCCGAUUGUACAGCUCCGAAAGGCCACCACUUGCGGCCAAAGUGCCAGGACAUUCGUCCAGCGGCAUGCCUCCAUCUCCUCGCUCUCUCUCUCUCUCUCUCUCUCU
RNAcentral lists this long non-coding RNA (616 nucleotides) under Sinocyclocheilus anshuiensis. RNAcentral's name for it is "lncRNA (ENSSANG00000036115.1)". Lineage: Eukaryota; Metazoa; Chordata; Actinopteri; Cypriniformes; Cyprinidae. The record is from RNAcentral.